Molecule: small nuclear RNA, 164 nt
Filed under: Pogona vitticeps (central bearded dragon)
Lineage: Eukaryota; Metazoa; Chordata; Lepidosauria; Squamata; Agamidae
Description: U1 spliceosomal RNA (ENSPVIG00000022286.1)
Rfam family: U1 spliceosomal RNA
About the family: U1 is a small nuclear RNA (snRNA) component of the spliceosome (involved in pre-mRNA splicing). Its 5' end forms complementary base pairs with the 5' splice junction, thus defining the 5' donor site of an intron.
Source: Rfam by way of RNAcentral
ACUCAUACCUGGCAGGGGAGAUACCAUGAUCAUAAAAGUGGUUUUCUCAGGCUAAGACUCAUCCAUUGCACUUCAGGGGUGCUGAUUUCUGUGAUUUCCCCAAAUGUGGGAAAAUCAAGUGCCUAAUUUAUGGUAGUGGGGAACUGCGUUUGUGGUUUCCCCUA